GCGGCGUGCUUAACACAUGCAAGUCGAACGGAAAGGCCUCUUCGGAGGUACUCGAGUGGCGAACGGGUGAGUAACACGUGGGUAAUCUGCCCUGCACUUCGGGAUAAGCCUGGGAAACUGGGUCUAAUACUGAAUAUGACCACGAGGCGCAUGUCUUGUGGUGGAAAGCUUUUGCGGUGUGGGAUGGGCCCGCGGCCUAUCAGCUUGUUGGUGGGGUGACGGCCUACCAAGGCGACGACGGGUAGCCGGCCUGAGAGGGUGUCCGGCCACACUGGGACUGAGAUACGGCCCAGACUCCUACGGGAGGCAGCAGUGGGGAAUAUUGCACAAUGGGCGCAAGCCUGAUGCAGCGACGCCGCGUGGGGGAUGACGGCCUUCGGGUUGUAAACCUCUUUCAGCAGGGACGAAGCGCAAGUGACGGUACCUGCAGAAGAAGCACCGGCCAACUACGUGCCAGCAG
This 460-nucleotide ribosomal RNA is filed under the name Mycobacterium sp. FI00295. Its description in RNAcentral is "bacterial SSU rRNA". It matches the Rfam family "Bacterial small subunit ribosomal RNA", at positions 39 to 514 of the family's 1533-position model. The record is from RNAcentral. Lineage: Bacteria; Bacillati; Actinomycetota; Actinomycetes; Mycobacteriales; Mycobacteriaceae.